ACUAUAAAGAAUGAGGUUUUGAAAUUAGCUAAAAAGUUUUGNUAGUAUGACAGGUUUGGAAACAGAUCCUUCUUCGGACAUAUUACAAGGUGCUGCAUGGUUGUCGUCAGCUCGUGCCGUGAGGUGUCAGGUUAAGUCCUAUAACGAGCGCAACCCCUGUUGUUAGUUGCCAUCGAGUAAUGUCGGGAACUCUAACAAGACUGCCGGUGCAAACCGUGAGGAAGGUGGGGAUGACGUCAAAUCAUCACGGCCCUUACGUCCUGGGCUACACACGUGCUACAAUGGCAGGUACAGAGAGCAGCCACCAUGCAAAUGGGAGCGAAUCUAUAAAGCCUGUCUCAGUUCGGAUUGGAGUCUGCAACCCGACUCCAUGAAGCUGGAAUCGCUAGUAAUCGCAUAUCAGCCAUGAUGCGGUGAAUACGUUCC
RNAcentral lists this non-coding RNA (426 nucleotides) under Flavobacterium akiainvivens. RNAcentral's name for it is "Bacterial small subunit ribosomal RNA". It matches the Rfam family "Bacterial small subunit ribosomal RNA", at positions 946 to 1374 of the family's 1533-position model. The record is from Rfam by way of RNAcentral. Lineage: Bacteria; Pseudomonadati; Bacteroidota; Flavobacteriia; Flavobacteriales; Flavobacteriaceae.